UACAGAGGGGGCAAGCGUUAUUCGGAAUUAUUGGGCGUAAAGGGCGCGUAGGCGGCCUGGCAAGUGGAAGGUGAAAUCCCUCGGCUUAACCGAGGAACUGCCCUCCAAACUGCUUGGCUUGAGUCCGGGAGAGGUGAGUGGAAUUCCCAGUGUAGCGGUGAAAUGCGUCGAUAUUGGGAGGAACACCAGUGGCGAAGGCGGCUCACUGGACCGGAACUGACGCUGAGGCGCGAAAGCGUGGGGAGCAAACGGG
This 253-nucleotide ribosomal RNA is filed under the name uncultured bacterium. Its description in RNAcentral is "partial 16S ribosomal RNA". It matches the Rfam family "Bacterial small subunit ribosomal RNA", at positions 524 to 776 of the family's 1533-position model. The record is from RNAcentral.